Molecule: long non-coding RNA, 276 nt
Organism: Oncorhynchus kisutch (coho salmon)
Lineage: Eukaryota; Metazoa; Chordata; Actinopteri; Salmoniformes; Salmonidae
Exons: 3
Source: RefSeq, a predicted model, not a curated record
GAAGCUGAUGAAGCAGUUUUUGGUGCUCCAGAGUCAAGGCCUCCAGAGUCAUGUCCCUCACCACACCACCGUGGAGGACAUGAGCAACUGGCUUGUUAAGAACAAGUCCCUGGAGCGGUUCAGAAAGGAAGCAGAGGAAGGGAAUGACAUAAGUCACCUGACCUGGGAGGUGAACACUCAACUCAGAAUGAGGGACGUUGAACAUGAGGCUUUUACUGAGUUGGCCACCGACCUUAGUCAGGCCAUUAACUCACUUGACUUUACUGCUGAUCUCUC